Molecule: unclassified non-coding RNA, 348 nt
Filed under: soil metagenome
Description: partial contains 5.8S ribosomal RNA, internal transcribed spacer 2, and large subunit ribosomal RNA
Rfam family: 5.8S ribosomal RNA (bases 1-120)
Source: RNAcentral
GAUGAAGAACGCAGCGAAAUGCGAAAAGUAAUGUGAAUUGCAGAAUUCAGUGAACCAUCGAAUCUUUGAACGCACAUUGCGCCCGCUGGAACUCCGGCGGGCACGCCUGUCCGAGCGUCAUUUCAACCCUCAGGCCCCCCUUCGCGGGCGGGCCUGGUGUUGGGGCCCGGCCGCUACCCUGCGGCCGUCCCCUAAAUCCAGUGGCGGCCUCGCCGUGAUCCCUUGCGUAGUAAUGCACCUCGCACCGGAGAGCGCCGUGGCCACGCCGUAAAACCCCCAAUUUUCAAUGGUUGACCUCGGAUCAGGUGGGAAUACCCGCUGAACUUAAGCAUAUCAAUAAGCGGAGGA